RNAcentral lists this ribosomal RNA (432 nucleotides) under uncultured bacterium. Its description in RNAcentral is "partial 16S ribosomal RNA". It matches the Rfam family "Bacterial small subunit ribosomal RNA", at positions 29 to 506 of the family's 1533-position model. The record is from RNAcentral.
AGCGAACGCUGGCGGCAGGCCUAACACAUGCAAGUCGAACGAACUCUUCGGAGUUAGUGGCGGACGGGUGAGUAACACGUGGGAACGUGCCUUUAGGUUCGGAAUAACUCAGGGCAACUUGUGCUAAUACCGAAUGUGCCCUUCGGGGGAAAGAUUUAUCGCCUUUAGAGCGGCCCGCAUCUGAUUAGCUAGUUGGUGAGGUAAAGGCUCACCAAGGCGACGAUCAGUAGCUGGUCUGAGGGGAUGAUCAGCCACAUUGGUAGUGAGACACGGCCCAAACCCCAACGGGAGACAGAUGUGGGGGAUUUUGCGUAGUGGGAGAAUGCAUGGCGCAACCAAGCGGGGUAAAGUAAAGAGGUCUAGGGGUGUUAAAAUUCUUGAGCGGGGGGGGAUAAUGACGGUACCCGAAGAAGAAGCCCCGGCUAACUUCGU